CAGAAACUUAAAGGAAUUGACGGGGCCCGCACAAGCGGUGGAGUAUGUGGUUUAAUUCGAUGCAACGCGAAGAACCUUACCUGGUCUUGACAUCCCAGAAAUCCCUUGGAAACUUGGGAGUGCUUCCAUUAGGAAGAAUCUGGAGACAGGUGCUGCAUGGCUGUCGUCAGCUCGUGUCGUGAGAUGUUGGGUUAAGUCCCGCAACGAGCGCAACCCUUGCCUUUAGUUGCCAGCAGUUCGGCUGGGCACUCUAAAGGGACUGCCGGUGUUAAACCGGAGGAAGGUGGGGAUGACGUCAAGUCCUCAUGGCCUUUAUGACCAGGGCUACACACGUACUACAAUGGCCGAUACAAAGGGCAGCGACAUCGCGAGGUGAAGCCAAUCCCAUAAAAUCGGUCUCAGUCCGGAUUGGAGUCUGCAACUCGACUCCAUGAAGUUGGAAUCGCUAGUAAUCGUGGAUCAGCAUGCCACGGUGAAUACGUUCCCGGGCCUU
This 493-nucleotide ribosomal RNA is filed under the name uncultured Desulfobulbus sp. RNAcentral describes it as "bacterial SSU rRNA". It matches the Rfam family "Bacterial small subunit ribosomal RNA", at positions 894 to 1382 of the family's 1533-position model. Lineage: Bacteria; Pseudomonadati; Thermodesulfobacteriota; Desulfobulbia; Desulfobulbales; Desulfobulbaceae. The record is from RNAcentral.